GUGCUCACUUGGACAGCGCAUAUACUAAUAUUGGAACGUUAUAGAGAAGAUAGCAUGGCCCUGUAGAAGGAUGACAUGCAAAUUGGUGAAGUGUUCCAUAUUUAA
Eptesicus fuscus (big brown bat) is the source of this 105-nucleotide small nuclear RNA. NCBI's taxonomy places the organism in Eukaryota, Metazoa, Chordata, Mammalia, Chiroptera, Vespertilionidae. The record is from RefSeq and is a predicted model, not a curated record.